AACCCUAGUUUCUUCUCCGGCGGUUGGCGGAGGGUUGUCUCCAAGAAUCCUUCACAUUCUCGUGAUCUUCUCGACGUGGAGAGCACAUAGACGCGAAGAAGGCGCUGCGAUUUCGAGUCUCGUCGGAACCCUAGAAGCCUCUUCUCUUCUCGGUUGUAAGUCCAAGCAAAUCCCGGUCUAGUGAAAAUACUAAAGAAGUAUGACAAGAGAACAGGAGCACUUAUCAGGCAGCCCUUCAUCGAAAAGAAUGCGACGGACAAAAUGGAGUGCCAAAGCCGGCACAAUCAGGUGGGAGGGUUCCGGAGUUGGAGGAGAUUAAAUAUAUGCAGAGCUUAUACAUGAAGAGCACCGUAGCAGCGCUGCGGUCCUUGAAACAGAUUAGGAGCAAAAGUUCAACAGUCAAAACAGAUUAGA
Molecule: long non-coding RNA, 414 nt
Organism: Zingiber officinale
Lineage: Eukaryota; Viridiplantae; Streptophyta; Magnoliopsida; Zingiberales; Zingiberaceae
Exons: 3
Source: RefSeq, a predicted model, not a curated record